UACAUAUGGGGCAAGCGUUGUUCGGAAUUACUGGGCAUAAAGGGUGCGUAGGUGGUUUGUUAAGUCAGGGGUGAAAUCCCGCGGCCCAACCGUGGAACUGCCUUUGAUACUGGCGAACUUGAGUGCGUGAGGGGUAGGGGGAACGAGCAGUGUAGCGGUGAAAUGCGUAGAUAUUGGGCGGAAGGCCAGAGGCGAAGGGGGCCUACUGGGACGUAACUGACGCUGAGGCACGAAAGCGUGGGGAGCAAACAGG
Molecule: ribosomal RNA, 253 nt
Filed under: uncultured bacterium
Lineage: Bacteria
Description: partial 16S ribosomal RNA
Rfam family: Bacterial small subunit ribosomal RNA
Source: RNAcentral